AAUUAUGAGAAUAAUACGAGGAAAAUUGAUGUGAAAAUCUAGGGUAUUACAUUCUCUCCUCUAGAUCUCUCCCUUAAGCGAAUUAAAAUCCGUCUGUCGCUAGGUUGAUUUAGGGUGUUGUUGGAUUGGGGUUUUGCUUGGUUGAUAUAAAGUUUUGUUGGAUUGAGGAUUUGCCUGAUUUAGGGUUUGUUGAUGUUCAUAUUUGGGGGUGCAAGGCUUUUUGAGAUUUUCUAGAUGAACAAGUGAGUAAUCAUAUAAAAACCCUCAGUCGCUCUUGGCCAAGCAAUCUCCUCUCUCCUCUUCGCCCGCCCCAAAAAGCUACACGACGCCGUUUCGCAGCUCUCUCCUCUUCCUCCUCUCGCCUCUGUCUCCGGCUCCCUCGACGACUCGCUCCGCUUCCUCCACAACUACCUAAACGACGCCGCUUGCCGAAACGAGCCUCUCGAUGAAAUCCUCAUCCCUAUGCUCGAUCACUAUUUGAGGAACAAGAACUUGAAGCACGGCGGCCAAGUUUUGGUGGUUUUGUGAUGGAGUAUGAUUUUCAUGGGGUUUGGCGCCACCUCGGGGAGUGUGUCGCCGAAGCCGCAAGUGCCUUCGGUUGUGACGACUGUGCCACCGCAGAGUCAGCCGAGGCUGCAGUUGAUGGGGUUGUCGGUUCCCGUGCCCGUGCCGCCGCCACAGCCACCUGUGCCUUCAGUUAGGCUGCAUGUAUCGGAAGAUGUGAGUUGAGCUCAAACCUAGAGGUGAUUUGAGAGCUGUUGUUUAGUCUGUGAGCUUGUGUAUUCUGGGGUUUAGUGAACAAUGUUGAAAUCCUUGUUGAAGGUUUGAUUCUGGAGGGUGAAGUUUUAAUGUUGUUGGAUGUUUUCAAAUUGUUUGAUGGGGCUUUUUGAUUUUGGCUUUGAACUGAACUAGUCAAUCUGUAAAUGAAAUGGGAGUAUUGAAUUUGCAUUUAUGAAGUAAUUGCAUUUGAUCUAUA
This is an RNA transcript of Fragaria vesca subsp. vesca, 976 nucleotides long. RefSeq lists it as uncharacterized. The record is from RefSeq and is a predicted model, not a curated record. The transcript is spliced from 3 exons. NCBI's taxonomy places the organism in Eukaryota, Viridiplantae, Streptophyta, Magnoliopsida, Rosales, Rosaceae.